Non-coding RNA from Prunus avium (sweet cherry), 644 nucleotides. The record is from RefSeq and is a predicted model, not a curated record. Lineage: Eukaryota; Viridiplantae; Streptophyta; Magnoliopsida; Rosales; Rosaceae.
ACGAUUCCUCUUCCCAUCAAGUCAGAAGCCCCUCGUUUCCUACGCAGCGAGCAACAGCCCUCUCCUAGUUCUUACUCCAUAGAACUCUAUUUAAUCCACCGAUCGGUGGAUAAUCCACCACCAUAUUUUUCUUUGUUUUCUCCAUCUCCCUUCAAUCCAUUCCAUAGCUUUUAUUUUCAGUUUCUCUCAUCCCUCUUUUCUCAUAUCAUAUUGUAACCCUAAUAAUCAAUCUCACACCAAAAAGCUCACAAAUUGUCUUUGUCUUUGAGAUUGACGGUGACCAAGAGGGGAGUAGCAUGAGAAAUUGAAAAGAUGUACAUGAAUCAGGUGGAGGGACAGAGUGGAGUUUCUCAAAUUUUAGUUUCAACACAGCUAGCCUGAAUAAAGCUCUGCAAGAUUGAGGCUUUUUUAUAUAAGCUUUAACCAGAUGGUGCAAAGGAAAUCAACCAGCUAUUUGUGUAUUUGAUAAAGGGAAAGCAUCGAAUAUUUGCACAUUGUAAUGGGGUGUGGAUCUCUUAGUGGCUGCCUGUUUGGGAGGAAGAAGGCUCCAGGCAGAUUUUGGACCUGUCCAAAUUUACUGCAACCAUUUCAUAUGUUGUUUUCAAAGCUGCUUUUGUGAUCCAGAUUAGUAUUUUGAACAAAUA